RNAcentral lists this ribosomal RNA (1035 nucleotides) under human gut metagenome. Its description in RNAcentral is "bacterial LSU rRNA". It matches the Rfam family "Bacterial large subunit ribosomal RNA", at positions 1868 to 2925 of the family's 2925-position model. The record is from RNAcentral.
CAUACGAGAUACUGAUCGGUCUCGUGGGCUCGGAGAUGUGUAUAAGAGACAGGUCCUAAGGUAGCGAAAUUCCUUGUCGGGUAAGUUCCGACCUGCACGAAUGGCAUAAUGAUGGCCACACUGUCUCCUCCUGAGACUCAGUGAAGUUGAAAUGUUUGUGAUGAUGCAAUCUCCCCGCGGCUAGACGGAAAGACCCCAUGAACCUUUACUGCAGCUUUGCAUUGGACUUUGAACCGAUCUGUGUAGGAUAGGUGGGAGGCAGUGAAGCUAGGACGCCAGUCUUAGCGAAGCCAACCUUGAAAUACCACCCUGAUUUGUUUGAGGUUCUAACCUAGGAGCGUGAUCCGCUUCGGGGACCGUGCAUGGUAGGCAGUUUGACUGGGGCGGUCUCCUCCUAAAGGGUAACGGAGGAGUGCGAAGGUACGCUAGGUACGGUCGGAAAUCGUGCUGAUAGUGCAAUGGCAAAAGCGUGCUUGACUGCGAGACCGACAAGUCGAGCAGAUACGAAAGUAGGUCAUAGUGAUCCGGUGGCUCUGCAUGGAAGGGCCAUCGCUCAACGGAUAAAAGGUACUCUGGGGAUAACAGGCUGAUACCGCCCAAGAGUUCAUAUCGACGGCGGUGUUUGGCACCUCGAUGUCGGCUCAUCGCAUCCUGGGGCUGUAGCCGGUCCCAAGGGUAUGGCUGUUCGCCAUUUAAAGAGGUACGUGAGCUGGGUUUAAAACGUCGUGAGACAGUUUUGUCCCUAUCUGCCGUGGGCGUUGGAAGAUUGACGGGGGCUGCUCCUAGUACGAGAGGACCGGAGUGGACUCACCUCUGGUGUACCGGUUGUCACGCCAGUGGCAUCGCCGGGUAGCUAUGUGGGGAAAGGAUAACCGCUGAAAGCAUCUAAGCGGGAAACCUGCCUGAAGAUAAGUCUUCCUGGAGGCUUUGACCUCCCUGAAGAGUCGUUCGAGACCAGGACGUUGAUAGGUUGGAUGUGCAAGCGCUGUGAGGCGUUGAGCUGACCAAUACUAAUUGCUCGUGAAGCUUGAUCCU